Molecule: unclassified non-coding RNA, 363 nt
Filed under: Hevea brasiliensis (rubber tree)
Lineage: Eukaryota; Viridiplantae; Streptophyta; Magnoliopsida; Malpighiales; Euphorbiaceae
Source: RNAcentral
CGAGAUUAAGAGGACGUAAUAACUGCGAAAGAUCAGAGAUGGAAAUGGAUAUGGUUUGUGUAACUGGUGGAACAGGAUACCUAGCAUCAUGGCUGAUUAUGAAGCUUCUUCAACAUGGAUACUCAGUAAAUGCUACAAUAAGGUCAACUCAAGGUUAACAUUUCCCACUGAUUCUAUUCAUCGUCUUUUAAGAUCACAAAACAGAUGUUAGCUACCUCACUAACUUGCCUGAAGCAUCCCAAAGGCUACGGAUUUUUAACGCUGAUAUGGACAAACCGGAGAGCUUUAGUACAGCUAUUGAAGGAUGUGUUGGAGUAUUUCACGUUGCUCAUCCAAUGAAUUACGGGGACCAAGAAAUUGAAG